AAGAAAUUAGUUAAUAAUAACAUUAAAAUGUCAAUUUAAAAUAACCUUUAGGUAUUUCUUG
Molecule: transfer RNA, 61 nt
Filed under: Scelimena sp. 1 JL-2023a
Lineage: Eukaryota; Metazoa; Arthropoda; Insecta; Orthoptera; Tetrigidae
Description: tRNA-Asp
Source: RNAcentral